ACAUUUGUGUGGAAUGCCUCACCCAGAAGAAACCAAAAUUUGGAAAGGGUUUCCUUCCCAAACCUAAUAAAAAAAAAUUCGAUCUGAUGAACAUGAAUGGGAUAUGAUUCCUCGCGGAAGAACACCUCGGGCACCACUAAAAAAGUAAAGGACCUAACAAACAAACGAGAAUCAUGUGACUCAUAGCAAGAGGAUUAUCCACAAAAAAAAAAAAUGGCAUGGUGGGUACAACUACAUGUGAACCACUAUCAAUAAUGGUCCAUUAUUUCAACCACCGGCCCCUACCACAUGAUUAUCAACUGAAUAAUGGAGUAAGAGAC
Molecule: long non-coding RNA, 320 nt
Filed under: Salvia miltiorrhiza (redroot sage)
Lineage: Eukaryota; Viridiplantae; Streptophyta; Magnoliopsida; Lamiales; Lamiaceae
Description: long non-coding RNA (SMIL_LNC002082)
Source: RNAcentral